UAAUAAAGGGCUGCGCUUUAGCGCAUGAUACGCCCGUUGCUCUUUUAACUUGUCUUUUAUGCUUUAAAUGUAUUGUCCCAAAAUUGGAAAAUCCCCCCUUUUUUAAGCAUAAAAAUUCAUAACACGGAAAUGUAAAAUCUGAAAUUUAUAAAAGUUGAAAGGGAGCUUACAUCAAUAGAUAUAAACAAUUCACCAAAGUUUCAUGGACAUUGGUGAAAGCCUUUUUGAGUUAUUGUCCGAAGUGUUAAAAAUCCCCCUUUUUUAUGAAUAAAGCCCCAUAAAUCCAAAACUUAAAAUCUGAAAUUAAUAAAAAUUAAAAGGGAGCUUAUAUCAAUAGAUAUAAACAAUUCAACAAAGUUUCAUGGACAUUGGUGAAAGCCUUUUUGAGUUAUUGUCCGAAGUGUUAAAAAUCCCCCUUUUUUUAUGAAUAAAGCCCCAUAAAUCCAAAACUUAAAAUUUGAAAUUAAUAAAAAUUGAAAGGGAGCUUACAUCAAUAGAUAUAAACAAUUCACCAAAGUUUCAUGGACAUUGGUGAAAGCCUUUUUGAGUUAUUGUCCGAAGUGUUAAAAAUCCCCCUUUUUUUUUAUGAAUAAAGCCCCAUAAAUCCAAAACUUAAAAUCUGAAAUUAAUAAAAAUUGAAAGGGAGCUUACAUCAAUAGAUAUAAACAAUUCACCAAAGUUUCAUGGACAUUGAUGAAAGCCUUUUUGAGUUAUUGUCCGAAGUGUUAAAAAUCCCCCUUUUUUUAUGAAUAAAGCCCCAUAAAUCCAAAACUUAAGAUCUGAAAUUAAUAAAAAUUAAAAGGGAGCUUAUAUCAAUAGAUAUAAACAAUUCACCAAAGUUUCAUGGACAUUGGUGAAAGCCUUUUUGAGUUAUUGUCCGAAGUGUUAAAAAUCCCCCUUUUUUAUGAAUAAAGCCCCAUAAAUCCAAAACUUAAAAUCUGAAAUUAAAAAAAACUAAAAGGGAGCU
This 967-nucleotide long non-coding RNA is filed under the name Mytilus galloprovincialis (Mediterranean mussel). The record is from RNAcentral. Lineage: Eukaryota; Metazoa; Mollusca; Bivalvia; Mytilida; Mytilidae.